RNAcentral lists this ribosomal RNA (497 nucleotides) under uncultured bacterium. Its description in RNAcentral is "partial 16S ribosomal RNA". It matches the Rfam family "Bacterial small subunit ribosomal RNA", at positions 28 to 507 of the family's 1533-position model. The record is from RNAcentral.
GACGAACGCUGGCGGCGUGCCUAAUACAUGCAAGUAGAACGCUGAAACUUGGUGCUUGCACCGAGCGGAUGAGUUGCGAACGGGUGAGUAACGCGUAGGUAACCUGCCUGGUAGCGGGGGAUAACUAUUGGAAACGAUAGCUAAUACCGCAUAAGAGUAGAUGUUGCAUGACAUUUGCUUAAAAGGUGCAAUUGCACCACUACCAGAUGGACCUGCGUUGUAUUAGCUAGUUGGUGGGGUAACGGCUCACCAAGGCGACGAUACAUAGCCGACCUGAGAGGGUGGUCGGCCACACUGAGACUGAGACACGGCACAGACGCCUACGGGAGGCAGCAAUAGGGAGUCUUCGGCAAUGGACGGGAGUCUGACCGAGCAACGCCGCGUGAGUGAGGAAGGUUUUCGGGUCGUGAAGCACUGUUUUAAGGGAGGAACGAGUGUGAGAGUGGAAAGUUCACACUGUGACGGUAUCUUACCAGAAAGGGACGGCUAACUACGUG